UCCUCUCAUCGGGCAAGCUCACAAUGUGACACUCUCCGGUGUACCUGUGAGGCAACAGGGGGAGUUACCUGCAAUGGUCUUCCGGCAUCGUUUCCUGUUAAUAUACAUAAAAUGGACCUGAGCUAUACUAAUGUAACAUCUUUACCGAAGAGAGCAUUUGCAGAUCUCUUCAGCCUUCGGAAUUUGGACCUGAGCAGCAAUGCUUUAACAUCUUUACCGGAGGGAGCAUUCUCAGAUCUCGUUAACCUUCAGUAC
Molecule: long non-coding RNA, 255 nt
Organism: Sycon ciliatum
Lineage: Eukaryota; Metazoa; Porifera; Calcarea; Leucosolenida; Sycettidae
Exons: 3
Source: RefSeq, a predicted model, not a curated record